Etheostoma cragini (Arkansas darter) is the source of this 223-nucleotide long non-coding RNA. RefSeq lists it as uncharacterized. The record is from RefSeq and is a predicted model, not a curated record. Lineage: Eukaryota; Metazoa; Chordata; Actinopteri; Perciformes; Percidae. The transcript has 3 exons.
CAUCACAGCAGGGGAAAAAUAUGCAUACAUUCAUACAUAAAGUACACAGACUGCUGCAUCACUCUGGAUGGACCUGCUCAUGUUGCAUGCAUAGACUGCCGCUAGCCAACAAAAUUGAACAAUGCAAGUUGUGCAACUCAUAACAGUCGUCAAAAUAUGUCCAGUAAAGGUAAUCUGCCUUAUCAACAUAAAAUCCUGGUAAAAGAAAAUUAAAAAUAUACAU